Molecule: non-coding RNA, 77 nt
Organism: Podarcis lilfordi (Lilford's wall lizard)
Lineage: Eukaryota; Metazoa; Chordata; Lepidosauria; Squamata; Lacertidae
Source: the annotation of a GenBank genome assembly
GGGGAAGGAACAUGGCUCAGUGGUAGAGCACCUGCUCUGCAUGCAGAAUGUCCCAAGUUUAAUCUCUAGUGUCUCCA